Long non-coding RNA from Capra hircus (goat), 2351 nucleotides. RefSeq lists it as uncharacterized. The record is from RefSeq and is a predicted model, not a curated record. NCBI's taxonomy places the organism in Eukaryota, Metazoa, Chordata, Mammalia, Artiodactyla, Bovidae. The transcript has 3 exons.
CUACGUGCUUGGCAAUGCCACCUUUAAAAUGCUGUUAUUGUUUCUGCCUUCCGACUCGGGGCCAAGUUUUCUCCUCGCAUUCUGGGCUCUCAGGGAAGGCAGGAAAUCAGGGAGCCCCGCUGAAGGGGAAGGCCACUUCCCCUAACCCUGCUGGGCUGUUCCAGAGACCUAGACAAGAAGCACAAACCCUUCACUGCAGAACUGGCCCGAAUUUGCCUUGCCUGGUUUCUUUCUGCCCACAUCAGCUGUGAUCAAAGGACUGGGUUUGUGCCCAGAGGACAAGUGUGUCUAAGCCUCUGGGAACAAUGCCCUUGUUGAUCUUCUGUGCUCUGCUUGCAUAAGGCCAUUGACUGAUUUCAACCUUGGCUACCAUCAAUAUCUUCACCUUUUACCAGACGGUGCUGGCAGUGAUAUGUUGUCUGAUGUCACCGUUACACUCAGGUGAGAAUGAAAAGAUUAUCUUAGGUAACCAUCUGAUUACCUGCAUCAGACUACACGCAAACUAAGGCAUAAAGAGUUCACGCCGAUGUCUAAAGAUCAGAACAAGAACCUACACUUCUGGAAUGCAGUAUCUUUUCCUGCUAGACUGGAAACGGCAAAGAGGAUUCGCGCCACCUGCCAAUUCAGAUGGCCUAGCAGACCAGAAACAGCUGCCUACACAGUAACUAAGAGAGCCAGCCAGAGAACGGAGCCAUAGCGGAUGAGCAAUGCCCGCCGCGAGCACAGCUCCACCUCAGCUCAUCAGACAUUAGAUCCUGAAGGCUAAGGACCCCUGGUAUAAAGGAUGAGAGGAAAGGAGAAGACCAAGAUGCAGCUGUGAUUAAAGUGCUUUGAACACAUUCAGCUGGAAAAUCUGCAAGGCAGCUGGACCAACCACGGCUGGGAUCUUCAGAGAGAUUUGAGAUCUGAAAAUCUGGGGGUCUGUAGACACAGGAGAAGAAAAGACCAAAAAUAUCAAUCGUGUGUCUUCCUUUCCAAUCUAGUUAAAUUGUAUAAGUGUUAUGCUACUCCACCUGUAAAGACUUAAUGCAACAGAAAUGUUACCAUAUAAGUGUCUGAUUUUCUAAAUUACAGCACUUAACUGCAAUUUUUUUACAUCUCAUAACAACUUAAUUCAAGCAACAAGAAAACUCCUGUUGCUGAAAAUAUUUCCUAAAGAUUUUGUACUUUUCUGCCUUCUUAGGUAUGGCACACCAACAUAAUUUUAUCUUUCUCUGGAGAUUAAAUACCUUAUAAAUCCUAACGACAUCCUCAUAAGGGGCAUUAACUGACACUUCAGAGCUCGGCCUAUAUGAUCAUCUCCAGCCCCUCCCAGAACAUCUCCCCAGUCAGUGAAUGAGGACCACCUAGCUCUACUUGCGGUCAUCUGUCAUACUCCAAGCGCAUAGAGCUGUUUUAAGUUGCUGGACUUGGAUUCAAGGCUAAGAGAUGGGGCCAAGAUCCUUGAAACUGUAAUAGAGCAGUCCACUCUCCGGAGAUUUGGGGGGAUAAAAAGGCUUGUUGCAAAUUCAAUCAAGAGAACUAGAGUAGCAUCUCCGAAAGUCAUGACUAGAACCAACUGUAGGACUCAUCCACCUUUAAAAUGAAAAAAAAAGAAAAAGACUGACAUUUUCUUUUCUGAUAAAAUACAAAUCUCCUAGGAAGAAGGCACUAAAACUGACAGUUAUUUCGCUUCAAAGAGAAUUUCUGAUUUUUUUUCCCCUGCAAACAGGUUUUACUAGGAAAAGCUCAAGAUGCUGGUGCAUAGACAUGGAAAAGGCUGCAUGUCUCACACCUUUGCCUAAAAUCACUCUGGUGGAAACUGUUACUUUUUCUUAAAAUCCUCCCACAGCCACCACCACUAACACUGGAUUCUCAAGGCACUGCUUCGAAGUUCCAGCAGCCAAAUUAGACCUUGUGGGAAAGAAAGUUGAAGACAACCACACCCUAUAACUUCUGCUUUUCAUUCUUCAAAGACUUGCACUUCAUCCAAAAGAGGUGUGUAAACAAAAUUUUCCAGGUUCCGUGUGUCUAAAAUGACCAGAAGUGCGUUUCAGCUUCCCCUCCAAAUUAUUUUUAGAAAUUCAAAAAGAUCUGACGCACAUAUUUACAAACCACUGUUCUGAAGUGCUGCCACUCAUUGAAUUCUUAGACAUCUGUUUAAGAAUAGCUUGUGAGACACCUGAGAACUGAGAGAGGGAGCAGAGAAACCAGAAUUUCUACGCCUUCAUCCAUCUAGGCUAAAGCAGAAAAUAUGCAUAAAAAUAUUUUUUGUCUGUAAAUAAUAAAGGUCAGAAGAGGGAGAAUUUAUGAAUAGCACGAGUCAAAGUAAAGUGCUUAAAAAAAAAUUGUUUUAAGGACCAUAAAGAAAA